CUUUGGACCCUCCCGCGUGCCGUUCUUACCCGGCCUGCCCCGCGCUGCCGCUUCCGGAAGUGGAUCUUGUCUCCUCCCAAGCGGAGCAUUUGUGCCUGAACCUCCCGGGACUGCGACGGCAUCGCAGUGCUGCAGAAUCCCGGGGGCCAAGGGCGCGCUGCUUGCCGCUAUGGCUGGCACUCAGGAUAUAUUCGAUUCCAUCGUGAUGGCGGAUGAGAGGUUUCAUGGGGAAGGGUAUCGGGAAGGCUACGAAGAAGGCAGUAGUUUGGGUGUGAUGGAAGGAAGGCAACAUGGCACGCUGCAUGGAGCCAAAAUUGGGUCUGAGAUCGGGUGCUACCAGGGUUUUGCUUUUGCGUGGAAAUGUCUACUGCACAGUUGCACCACUGAGAAGGACAGCCGAAAGAUGAAGGUCUUAGAAUCAUUGAUUGGAAUGAUCCAGAAAUUCCCUUAUGAUGACCCUACUUACGAUAAACUCCAUGAAGACUUAGACAAAAUCAGGGGAAAAUUUAAACAGUUUUGUUCAUUACUCAACGUUCAGCCAGACUUUAAAAUUAGUGCAGAAGGUUCCGGACUUUCAUUUUGAGAACGAUGGAUGAACAGAGACCGAACAUCGAGGAACAGAUGUGUGUGUGACAUGUUUAGAAAUGCGGCGAAGGGCCAGACGGUGCUGGGAAGGCCAUCGUUCAGUGGGAGGGUGAGGCUUCCGGUUCGGCCGCGGGAGGGCCUCCUUCCCCGGGGUUUUUUGCCUGUGUCAUCUCGGUGCCCGCCGUGGGGCCUCUUCACAAUGCCCUUUGUUGGGCUGAAGCCAUCCCUGGCAGAGCCCUCGCGCGGCUGCUCCCUGCUGGGCCCACGUGCAUUGGCCUGACGGCCUCUUCGGCAGCACAGGCCUGGCUGGCUCUGGCCUGGGGUUGACUCUGGAUAGGGUCAGUCCCCAGGCCUGGACUCGAGGCAGGUUUUUACAUUUUUUUUUGCAAUGAGAGAGACAGUUGGCCCUCAGCGAGGCUCGUGGGAGGUCUGGGCGGGUGCUGUGCCUCAUGUCGAAGCCGAUUGUGCACCAGGCCCUGCGGGACGUGUGUCUCGUGUUUUAUUUAAUCCCUUCAGGAGCCCACGGGGUGGGUGUUAUUCCCAUUUUACAGAGGAAGAAGGUGAGACAAGAAGGGGUUGCCUGGUCUGAGGGCACCCAGCAGCAGAGCUAGGACUUCCGCCCCCAGGCCGUGCCUCACCGCCACCAGCCGCAGCCGCCUCUGGAAUGCACAGGCUGGCACCUCAGCACUGAGAGUCCCUGCCCUCCCUCCCAGGCCGCAUGGGCCCUGCUGAGCCUCGCGGAGCACGGAGGAGUCCAUGGUGGCCAGUUUGCCUGGCCAUCUGGCUGAGAGGAAGAAAGGCCAGCCCGAUCCUGAGGGGACCCGGACAUAUCGUUCACACUGUCCCCAGAGGGGCAAUGAGCUCUGCAGCAUUAAAAAAUGGUGAAGGGGGGAAAUAUUUUGAACCAAAGACCAAAUGUUAGGCCGCCGUUAUAUUUGCAGAAACUGAGAACCGUGUGUACAGGCUCCUACAUUCUCCCCUCUCCUAGGCGCUCUUUGGUCUCUGUCGGUCCUUAACGAGGUGUCAUACAGAGACAGCGGGCUGGGCACAGAUGAGUGGAGUGGAUGGUUCGGUGGGCCCCCACGAGGUGAGUGGUCAUAUGCGAUGGCAUGUGUUCACGCACCCUCCUAUGUGCACCUCAGGGUCACCGAAGUCCCCACACGCUGGCUCUCCCCACCCCUCCUGUUCCAGAAGGCAUGUCUGAAAGCAGUCCACGGGAUUAUUAAGGAGUCACCAUGAAUCCACUUUGGUUUUAAAACCAUUCCCGAAUGUCCUAGUGGAUUGUGCUGUGCUGCCUAAGCUGCUGGCGGCAAGAGCCAGAGCAGUGACUCCCGCAGGAGCAGCGGCGGGCGGACCUCCACGGCGGCAGGGGGACCUCCACGGCGGCAGGGGAACCUCCACGGCGGCAGGGGGACCUCCACGGCGGCUCGGGAGUUGAGAGAGAGCUGCUUUGUUUUUGUUUGUUUUUCGUUUGAGACGGAGUCUCACUCUUUCACCCAGGCUGGGAUGUAGUGGCGUGAUCUCGGCUCACUGUAACCUCCACCUCCUGAAUUUAAGCAAUUCUCCUGCCUCAGCCUCCCUAGUAGCUGGGAUUACAGGCGCCCACCACCACGCCCAAGUAACUUUUGUAUUUUUAGUAGAGAUGGGGUUUUGCCAUGUUGGCCAGGCUGGUCUUGAACUCCUAGCCUGAAAUGAUCCACCCACCUCCACCUACCGAAGUGCUGGAAUUGCAGGCAUGAGCCUCCACUCCCAGCCUGCUUUUUCUUUUUGAAGACAAGACUUAGGUCUCCUCCUUCUGAACUGUAAACCUGCGUGUGUGGCUGUGCACCCCUCAUUUGUGGCCUCACCUCAGGUCUGGGGAAGUCUGCGUUGGGCAUCGCCCCAUUGUGCCUUCAUCAGAGCUGGUGCCUUCGGGCAGAAAGAUUUCCAUUCUUUCUAGAUGGUGGGAUCAGGGGCCUUCGUGGUGUUUCCCUUGGUGGAUUUUUGUGUUUUGGCAUUUCGGAUCUGGAUAUGGAGGAAGACACGUGCCCUAGAUUUCUGCCGGCUCGUCUCCUUAACCCAGCGUAGACACAGCCGCUGCGAGAGUGGUUCCGUUGUGUUAGGGACUGGUCAGCUCCUGCUCACCUGGCCCAGCUAUUACUCAUCCCCUCUCUCCAAGACAUCUCUAUCCCCGCUGUCCCCAACCUUCUCUCCCCUCCUCUUUCUUUUUUUUCUUCUCCCAUCUCUGUCUCCUGUUCUCUCUCCCUACUCCCUCUCUGCCUCUUCGACACAGCUGGCUGAGCAGCAGACUGCCACUUCCUCCUCUGGUUUGCCUCACAGGGAGCCAGGACUGCCUCCUCAUCUUCAAGAUUCUCACACACUCUGCUGGCCUGUGCCUGCCUGGCCCCUUUCUAGAGAACGAGACCCAGUUUCCAGGAUCCCUUGGUCACCCCCGACAUUGUGGUACAGACAGAGCCCACUGUAACAGGUGGUUCCAUCCUAUCCAGGCAGUGCCAUCCUCAGCCUUUACCCUGGGAAUGAGCAUGUCUGUGUCUUCUCUUCUGCUAAUGAGGUGUUAGUAGAGGGUCGACCAGUCCCCAGCACAGUGGGCCCACUCUUAGAAUGACUGUGUUUCUGUGCUGGGUUAAGGAGAUGAGUUGGCAGAAGGUCCUGCGGGGGCUUCUGGGAAAGGUUACGUCAUUCCAAAGAAAAGGUGCUGGUGCUAUUUUGAACAUCAUCCUGUUGGGAUGUGACAGCUAGAACUGCUCCAGUCAUCUUGCAAGCUGGCUACAGCUGAAGCCACCCCGAGCCUGGCAGAGCGAAGAGCUAGGAAGAACCUGCGUCCUCGAUACCACCACGUGCUGUUCCCAGCAGCCCUGAGCCACCUUGCUCGCACCUGUAAGCGCUACCCAUCCCAGUCAUGGAAGGCCGUGGCCCUGGGUUUCUGUUGUUUGCAGACAAAGUCUGCUUGUUGCCUUCCCCAUCCCCAUCAGGCCCAUCCCGUCCCGCUAAUCCUGGAUGUCAGCCUUUGUCCAGAGUGGCCUUGAGUUUGGGAGCUCCUGGGGUUGGAUUGCAUCCCUUGCGGUCGGUUUUCCAAGGCUUUGGCCUGCCCGUUCCUUCCUGUCAGAAGCUCCCAGCGUGUUGUCUGCCACCGUCUCAGCUCGGGCUGCCACCACGGCACCCCUGAUGGGUGACUUCAGCAGCGGUCCACCUUCCCUUCGUUCUGGAGGCUGGAGUCCGAGAUCAAGGCGCCACAGGGCUGCUCCCUCCUGAGGCCUCUCUCCUUGCCUUGCAGACAACUUUCUUCCCCCCGUGUCCUCACGUGGUCGUUCCUCUGUGUGUGUCCUCAUCUCUUAUAAGGACCCCAGUCAGAUUGCAUUGGGGCCCACCCUUCUAGCCUCAUCUGAACUUAGUUACCUGUUAAAGACCUCACUCUUCACACAGUCACAUUCUGAGGCACUGACCCCAGUCAGAUUGCAUUGGGGCCCACCCUUCCAGCCUCAUCUGAACUUAGUUACCUGUUAAAGACCUCACUCUUCACACAGUCACAUUCUGAGGCACAUUCUGAGGCACUGACCCCAGUCAGAUUGCAUUCGGGCCCACCCUUACAGCCUCAUCUGAACUUAGUUACCUGUUAAAGACCUCACUCUUCACACAGUCACAUUCUGAGGCACUGGGGGUUAAGGCUUCCACGUGAGUUUUGUGGGGACACAGUUUAGUCCCUAACAGGACCCAGCUGUGGCUGCUGGAUAGACUGUUGAAUUGGGACUGGGGAGGAAAUAAAGCCAUUUCAUGUAAAAGUU
This is a non-coding RNA of Chlorocebus sabaeus (green monkey), 4367 nucleotides long. The record is from RefSeq and is a predicted model, not a curated record. NCBI's taxonomy places the organism in Eukaryota, Metazoa, Chordata, Mammalia, Primates, Cercopithecidae.